Molecule: ribosomal RNA, 253 nt
Filed under: uncultured bacterium
Lineage: Bacteria
Description: partial 16S ribosomal RNA
Rfam family: Bacterial small subunit ribosomal RNA
Source: RNAcentral
UACGUAGGUGACCAGCGUUGUCCGGAUUUACUGGGCGUAAAGAGCGCGCAGGCGGUCGAUCAAGUCGAGUGUGAAAGCCCCCGGCUCAACUGGGGAGGGUCACUCGAUACUGAUCGACUCGAAGGCAGGAGAGGGAAGCGGAAUUCCCGGUGUAGUGGUGAAAUGCGUAGAUAUCGGGAGGAACACCAGUGGCGAAGGCGGCUUUCUGGCCUGCUCUUGACGCUGAGGCGCGAAAGCUAGGGUAGCAAACGGG